Molecule: ribosomal RNA, 253 nt
Filed under: uncultured bacterium
Lineage: Bacteria
Description: partial 16S ribosomal RNA
Rfam family: Bacterial small subunit ribosomal RNA
Source: RNAcentral
AACGUAGGACACGAGCGUUAUCCGGAGUUACUGGGCGUAAAGGGCGUGCAGGCGGUUUGUUUAGUCUAGGGUGAAAGCUCCCGGCUUAACUGGGAGAGGUCCUUGGAUACUGGCAAACUUGAGGGAGGCAGAGGAAAGUGGAAUUCCCGGUGUAGUGGUGAUAUGCGUAGAUAUCGGGAGGAACACCAGUGGCGAAGGCGGCUUUCUGGGCCUUACCUGACGCUGAGACGCGAAAGCGUGGGGAGCGAACCGG